Molecule: transfer RNA, 95 nt
Filed under: Bacteroidetes bacterium ADurb.Bin123
Lineage: Bacteria; Pseudomonadati; Bacteroidota
Description: tRNA-Thr
Source: RNAcentral
ACGCUGUUGCUGGUGGUGGUGCAGACCACCCCGCUGGUGGUGGUGUAUUGUCUGCGGUAAGUAUAGGUUCCGGCGUUCAAUGUGCCGGUAGUGUA